UCCUGCCCCAUGAUUAAUUAAAUGGCUGCAGUAUCCUGACUGUGCAAAGGUAGCAUAAUAAUUAGUCUUUUAAUUGAGGACUAGAAUGAAUGGAUUAAUGAGAUAUUUAUUUUAUUAAUAUUAAAUUUAGAAUUUUAUUUUUUAGUAAAAAAGCUAAAUUAUUUUUUUGGGACGAUAAGACCCUAUAGAACUUAAUUUUAUAUUUAUAAAAUGUUAUUGGAUUUAAUUUAAUAUUCUUAUUAUUAAUAAUUUUUUAUUGGGGUGAUAAAUAAAUUUUAACUUUAUUUUUUUAUUUCAUUAAUUUAUGUAUUUUUGAUCCAUUUUUGAUUAUAAGAAAAGUUACCUUAGGGAUAACAGCGUAAUUUUAAUGGGGAGUUCAUAUCUAUAUUAAAGUUUGCGACCUCGAUGUUGAAUUAAGAUUAGUUUUGGGGGUAG
This 435-nucleotide ribosomal RNA is filed under the name Caldwelliola lutea. RNAcentral's name for it is "partial large subunit ribosomal RNA". Lineage: Eukaryota; Metazoa; Arthropoda; Insecta; Hemiptera; Cicadellidae. The record is from RNAcentral.